GAUGAACGCUGGCGGCGUGCCUAAUACAUGCAAGUCGAGCGAACGGACGAGAAGCUUGCUUCUCUGAUGUUAGCGGCGGACGGGUGAGUAACACGUGGAUAACCUACCUAUAAGACUGGGAUAACUUCGGGAAACCGGAGCUAAUACCGGAUGAUAUUUUGAACCGCAUGGUUCAAAAGUGAAAGACGGUCUUGCUGUCACUUAUAGAUGGAUCCGCGCUGCAUUAGCUAGUUGGUAAGGUAACGGCUUACCAAGGCAACGAUGCAUAGCCGACCUGAGAGGGUGAUCGGCCACACUGGAACUGAGACACGGUCCAGACUCCUACGGGAGGCAGCAGGAGGGAAUCUUCCGCAAUGGGCGAAAGCCUGACGGAGCAACGCCGCGUGAGUGAUGAAGGUCUUCGGAUCGUAAAACUCUGUUAUUAGGGAAGAACAUAUGUGUAAGUAACUGUGCACAUCUGGACGGUACCUAAUCAGAAAGCCACGGCUAACUACGU
This 496-nucleotide ribosomal RNA is filed under the name uncultured bacterium. RNAcentral describes it as "partial 16S ribosomal RNA". It matches the Rfam family "Bacterial small subunit ribosomal RNA", at positions 28 to 506 of the family's 1533-position model. The record is from RNAcentral.